Molecule: long non-coding RNA, 297 nt
Filed under: Homo sapiens (human)
Lineage: Eukaryota; Metazoa; Chordata; Mammalia; Primates; Hominidae
Description: HSALNT0206547
Source: RNAcentral
AAAAGUACUUGAACCUCAUCGUGAAAAGAUCUCAGAGAUCCCUAGGGGCCUGCAGCCAGAAGUUGAGAACUGCUGCAAUAGAGCUGUGGUUCUCAAACUUCAGUGUGCGUCAAAAUCACCCACCCAUUAAAAUGCAGAUUGCUGGAUCCGCCGCAAGGGUUUCUGCCUCAGCAGUUCUGAGGUGGAGACCAAGCACGUGCCAUCUAACAGUUCCCAGGUGAUGCCUGAUGCCGUUGGUCGGAAGACCAUAAUUUAAGAGCCACUUCCACAGAAGGUCGUUUGCAUAUCUUGGCUGUU